Molecule: transfer RNA, 74 nt
Filed under: Dermacentor silvarum
Lineage: Eukaryota; Metazoa; Arthropoda; Arachnida; Ixodida; Ixodidae
Description: transfer RNA threonine (anticodon GGU)
Rfam family: tRNA
About the family: Transfer RNA (tRNA) molecules are approximately 80 nucleotides in length. Their secondary structure includes four short double-helical elements and three loops (D, anti-codon, and T loops).
Source: RNAcentral
GCCUCCGUGGCGCAAUCGGCUAGCGCGUUCGGCUGGUAACCGAAAAGUUGGAGGUUCAAGCCCUCCCGGGGGCG